This 257-nucleotide long non-coding RNA is filed under the name Homo sapiens (human). RNAcentral's name for it is "HSALNT0086643". Lineage: Eukaryota; Metazoa; Chordata; Mammalia; Primates; Hominidae. The record is from RNAcentral.
GUGGUGAGGCAUCAUGCCCAUGGCAUGGGGCUCCUGCAUUCCUUCUUGGGAAUUCCUUUUCCACGAGACGCUGUCCUGAAAUGCAGUAGCUCAAAUUGUGUCUCAGAAGACGGUCCCUCAAGACUGCACACUUGGCACCAAGUGGGGCAGGUCAGAAAUGUACACUCUUUUAUUAACCUAUUUCCUCUUCUAUUUCCCUUUCUCCUCAUUUCCUGAGAUAAGCUUUGCCUCAGGCUCUCUUUACUAGUGGAUUCACG